This is a long non-coding RNA of Equus caballus (horse), 4788 nucleotides long. The record is from Ensembl. Lineage: Eukaryota; Metazoa; Chordata; Mammalia; Perissodactyla; Equidae.
UCUGGUUAUUGGGUGGUCCUAUAACUUUUAGAUAAGAAUCAAACCGGAUUAAGUAAACGGCAGAAGCCACCACCUUAAAUAUUAUCUUCAGCUAAAGACAAAGGAGGAUGUUGCUGGGUGGGGGGUGGGGGUGUCAGUUACACGAGGUUACCAGACAGUAAACAACUUAAGUCCUUGCCUUCCCCAUUAAGAGUUUCCAGAGAUAAGGUCAUCCCCGCUUCCUCCUGGUGCAGAGAGGGAGACACCCCCACAGAUGGAGACUUCCUUCACAAAUGCAAAUAUCUGUCAUCAAAGGGCAAGCAAAUUCCACUCCUCAGAGCCUCCUUCUCUUCUGCAGUUUUUAACAGUAACCAGCCUAAAAUAAUCCUCAUCAUCUAUGUUCCACCAUCCAGAAGUAACCAUCUAACAGUGCAUAAUAAACGUGGCUGAAUAUACAUUAUUUAAAAUUUUCCUCAAUUCUGACACUAUUUACCUAGAGAUAGCGUCAGAUUCCUCAGGUUAAUGGUUCAGUCCUACAAGACUGCCCCCUUCAGACGCCAAUCCAAGGCCAGGUGAUCACCUGAGCUUCCAACCAACUGGCUGUAAAUCCAGCUGUAAAUUGGAGGUUCCCACGACCGCCUCCUUGGGUUCGAUCAACUUGCUACAGGGGCUCACAGAACGCAGAGAAGCAUUUUACUCACUAGAUUCCCGGUGUAUUGCACAAGGAUCUAAUUCAGGAACAGCCGGCUGCAGGAGAUGCACAGGGCAGGGUCUGGGGAGGGGGCCCAGAGCCCCCGUGUCCUCUCCGAGCACCUCUCCACCCUCCUCAGAUCUCCACGCCUUCACCCAUCCGGAAGCCGUCUGAACCCUGUUCCUUUGGACUUUUCUGGAGGCUUCAUUACCUGGGCAUGAGUGACGAACUCACUGGCCACUGGUGAUGGAACUCAACAUCAGGCCCCCUCCCCAGCCCAGAGGUCCAGGGGGUGGGACGGAAAGUUCAACCCUCUAACCUUGUGGUCGAUUCUCCUCACCAGCCCCAUCCUUAGGGGCCUUCUCAAAGCUGCCUCAUUAACAUAACAAAAGACACCUUUAUUGCUCUCUCCGCUUAGGAAAUCCCGAUGGUUUUAGGAGCUCUGUGCCAGGAACAGUGACGAAGGCCAAAUAUAUGUUUCUUAUUAUAAAAAUAGCACAGGACUUUUUUUCAGAAACUGACAGGGCCUUUCAAAGACGAGAGCUGUCCACUGCAGUGAAACCUGAGAGGUUUCUGGAAGGUGUUCCCAUCUGUUAGUCUGUUCUCAGCCAGCAGAUAGCUGAGUCCAGAAACCCAGAAACCCAGAACCCCCCUGGGUCCCUGGGGCUGCAAACAGCCCCUGGGUUUGGAGCGGGUGGCUCCCUGGGGCACCCUGGGUUGCAGAUCCAGCCAUCCUUGGGCACCCCAACACCUUCCCAGGGGACCUUGGACAUGUCACUUCCUUUCUCUGGGUCCUUCACUUUCUUUACCUGUAAAACAAGGAUCUGGAAUCACUUCCCUGGGCAGCUUCUGGUGUGGCAGUGUGAGCUUGGGGCGUGAGUCUCAGCUCUGCUUUUGGGAGCCGGGUGCCCUGGUGUGAGGGGUCUCCCUCUCUGAGCUGUUCUCUGUAAAAUGGGCAGAAGCUCACGGGCCCCACUGGGUCUGUGUGUGCUCAGGAAAAGGGCCGGCCCCUGCAGCAGCCCAAGCUAUGGACCUGGCCCCCUGGCUUCCUCUGGAGGGGGAGCCAUGUUACUGCCUACAAACAUACCUUCUUUACCCGCCACACAAGAGGGGCCAAAUAAAAGCUGAACGCCAGGCUUAUGGGAAGGAAAAGGUUUUUAUUUCGGAUGACAUCAGCCAGGAGACAAGAGUGAGCUCUCAAAUUUGUCUCGUUUCAUCUCGUCUCCCUGAAAGAGGGGAGGCGAGGAGUUUUAAAGGUUUGUGAGGAAUGUGGCUGCUUGUAGAGAGGCGAGGGAAGUCAGUGGCCUUGGUGCUAGAGCUUUCCCACCAGCCUGCAUUCGGCCUUGGGAGGAGGAGGUGAUAAGGAAUCUAGGUGGCUGUCUCCAUGGCAGAUAGUGGAUUCCAGAGCCAGGGAGAAAGCAGGGAAAGAGUGCUUUGGUUUUAACCCCACAUAUGCUGGGUUUAACUUAGGGGAACUGAUAUCAGAGCCAGCAUCAGCCUGAGGUUGUUCUGAUCUGUCUGCUCCUCCACUCCUCCUUCCCAGCCCUGGCUUGGCUCCCACCUCACCUUGCACAGGUGUUCUCGCUCACUCUCUGAGUCCCCCAUCCUCGCUUCUUUCCUCAUCCCUGAGCUCUGGCCCUGUGCGGUCUCACCAGGGCUGCUGUGUCCUGCCACAGUGAGCGGGAUGUGGUUCUUAUUUAUAUUUCCAGGGGCAAGUGGCACUUCAAGCUUCUGCUUGCCUCACUGCCUCCCCUAGACUGUUCUGGGCGUCCUGCCUGCCCACCAUCUCCCUGACACGAGAGCUUUCUCUUUCUCUUGUCCAUUAAGUUACUCAGGCCCAGAGAGAGACUGUGUUCUGAUGAGGAAUCCAAAGCUGAGUCCUAAUCAGUGGGCAGGAUGCUGUGAUCAAUUAGCAAUGUCUGUCAAGGGUGCAGGAUAGGAGAAGGUGGCACAUGAGUCAGCUACCUGAUGUCCCUGGUGGUUGCCAACUGCUUUGGAGAAACUGUGUGAAACAGGGAGGAGCCAAGAGGACUACGAAAGUUUCAUGCAGCCAUCAGGCAAGAGGCUUCUCUGGGUGGGAAGAAAGAAAGGGGUGUGCCUAUGGGAGAGUGGAGCCCUUAAUUAGAACUCCAGAUGAACAGCAAGUCAUGAUUUAGUAUAAGUUUGUCCUAUACAGCGUUAGUAAAUCUGAGAAGCUGACCUCUGCAGCCUCAUUUGUCCAGCAGCCCAGGGAGGUCCCUUCACGAUCAUGAUAUCAAACUUGAAGUGAGUUCGCUCACGUGCUGUGCAGCAAGCCAAUCUCUGACACCGGGGUAGUGGAAGAAAGCAGGAAUUUCAUUAUUGUACAGCGCUGAGCAAGAAGACGGGGCAGCUUCCGCUGAAAUCUGAAACUCCCUGAAAAGCUAAAAGGAAGGGUUUUUAUUUGGGGUUUUAGGUAGGGGAGAGGGAGCAUAUGGCCUUGCUGGUCGGAGCUUUCCCACCAGCCUGUCUUUGGCCUUGAGACUACUUGCAGAGAGGAGGGAGCCCAUGAUCUUGUUAGUCAGCAGCUUUCCCACCAGCCUGUAUCUCUUUGUGGGGAGGAGAUGAUCCAGGUGCUUGUCCUUGGCGGUGUCUGUCUCCAUGGUGGACAGUGGAUUCUGGAGCCAGGGAGUAAGCAGGGAAUGAGUGUUUUGGUUUUAACCCUAUACAUGCUGGGUUUAACGUGGGGAGACUGAUAUCAGGGUCGGUAUGAAUCAUGAGGUUUCAGGUCGUCGCCGUGAAUCUGGUCACAGUGGCUCUCGCCUGACCCUGUCCUCUUUGCUGUGAGACUGGAAUAGACGGGUCACCUAGUUGAUUUACCACGUCUGGUUCUGAUGCAGGGGUGCUUAUGGAGCACCCGCUGCGCCCCAGAACUUUACAGCCGGGUCCUCAUCCGAGGGGAGACAGCUGUGAGAGUCACGUGCUCUCCGCCUCAGGGGUGAAGAAGCUGGGCUCAGAGCGGCACCCGGCAAUGCUGCUGCGGCCACACAGAGGGGGACACAGGACUAGUGGGUUUCCGGGUGCAGCUCCCCACCCUGCCCUCUCCUUUCACAAGGUGCUGCCCAGUGGGGGCCUGCUGCCCUUUCUGGAUUCUUCCUGCCAGGCCUUCUGCCCCUUGAUGAUCUCACACCUGAAUGAACUGAGUCAUUUAUGCAACAUUCAUUCACUCACUUGGUGAGUAUUUAUUGAGUACCCACUAUGUACCAGGCGCAGUGCUAGGUGGUAAGGAUAGACUGGGGAAGAAGGCAGGAGGGGAGAGACGACAGAAAUGAUCACACAAACCAUUAUUCGGUUGUAAAGCAAGACAAGGGCCCCCAAAAUGCAGUCAGUGUGUCUAAACAGGAGACUGAGCCUCAUCUCAGAGUAGAGGAGGGAAACAGUCUGGGAAUGUGAGCCACCCUUCCUUCUCAUGAGCCUGCCUGCCUCUACCUGCCUAUUCAUCCUUCCCCAUAAUGAGCAUCCCAAGGCUCAGAGAGGGGCAGUAACCAGCCCAAGGUCACACAGCCACUUGAGACCUUUGGCCACGUUAGGUCCUCUCAGAAUCACUCAUCUUGUCUUAGUGCUGUCAAGAGAAGAGUCCCUGCUCUGCUGCUUCCUGGCUGUGCGACCUCGGAGGAGUCCUAUCUCCUGCCUGGGCCUCAGUUGCCCCAUCUGUAAAAUGGGGACUGUGGUACCUCCUGAGUUAGCUAGCACUUGUAGGAGAAAGCAGUGUGGUAUAUUGAAAAGCUUGAUGCAGAUAUUUCUUCUUAAUGUGUCUUAUUAGUGAUGGCCAUAAUAAAGUCCUUUCAGGGACAAGUUAGUCACAUUAAACAGUCCAGACAUGCAGUGGAGCCUCUCACCGUGAAAGAGACAAAGCUGGGAAAGCCGCAGCUCUGGACGGUGCACGGGGGCUGCCUCUCGGCCCCGAUGCCCAUGCACCUCUGGUGUUCUCUGGGCCAGCCGAUCCUGUGCAGCCAGGCCUGCAAGGGUUGUGGCCAAGCACCGGGCCUGCCGGGAGUGUCUGGGGAAUACGGAUGCCCCCAACUUGUUUUUUCUUUAAUCAACUUUACUUUGUAUUCAUAAAUAUUAUGACAGGUGCUAGUGAUACAAAUAUAAGUAAG